RNAcentral lists this ribosomal RNA (495 nucleotides) under uncultured bacterium. RNAcentral describes it as "bacterial SSU rRNA". It matches the Rfam family "Bacterial small subunit ribosomal RNA", at positions 36 to 529 of the family's 1533-position model. The record is from RNAcentral.
AAGAACCUGGCGGCGUGCUUAACACAUGCAAGUCGAGUGCGCGGUUGUAGCAAUACAACUGGCGCACGGCGCACGGGUGCGUAACACGUGGGCAAUCUGCCCUCCGAUGGGGAAUAACUCCGGGAAACCGAAGCUAAUUCCGCAUAACAUUCCCUGGACUUCGGUUCGGGGAUUCAAAGCAGCAAUGCGUCGGAGGAGGAGCCCGCGCCCGAUUAGCUAGUUGGUGAGGUAACGGCUCACCAAGGCUAUGAUCGGUAGCUGGUCUGAGAGGAUGGCCAGCCACACUGGAACUGAGACACGGUCCANACUCCUACGGGAGGCAGCAGUGGGGAAUCUUGCGCAAUGGGCGAAAGCCUGACGCAGCGACGCCGCGUGGGGGAUGAAGCUUCUCGGAGUGUAAACCCCUUUCGACCGGGACGAAUGCCCGCAAGGGAGUGACGGUACCGGUAGAAGAAGCCCCGGCUAACUACGUGCCAGCAGCCGCGGUAAGACGUA